CGGAGCUCAGGCAGUAAUAUUUGCUCACCCUGCCCCCCAUCACCUCCUGUUGUGCGGCCCGGUUCCUAGCAGGCCACGGACUGCCUCCUGCUUUGCACUGCUUCAGAAGUUGGCAAACAUCUUGAGGGAAGCCUGGCUCUGUUGACACUCCUGGUCUCCAGUUUUGACAUCCUAGCCCCAGAUGAUGCACCUAAAGUUGAAAAGCUGACUUCCACCUCCUGGGCAACGUGGCUCAGGUUUGUGCGCAGGUCAAGACAAAACUGAUGUCAACACCAGGAAUGAAGGAGAAAUCUGUGGCUUAAUGAAGGUGGAGACCCAGCGUGAAGGAGGCUGUGUCUGUAAGGCAGGGAAAAAAGCCUUCACCAGGAACCAGUGCUGGCACCCUGAUGUCAGACUUCAAGCCUCCAAAGCUGUGAGGGUACUGGUAGCCGCAUAAAACAAGUUGGGGCAUAUUCCAACAAAAUAGAACAUUUUGUGAAAGAGUGUAUAUGAAAAAGUUACUUCUUCCUUGAAUGUGUAAUAGAAUUCACCAGUGGAACCACCAGGGAUUGACAAUUUCUUUAUGGGUAGCCCUACAAUUUCAACCACAUCCUUGCCAAAGCUUUGGUGACUAGAGUGCUCUGGGAUCCUGAGAAGAAGAAAAGAAAAUGAGACCAAUAUUGAGACAGGACAAAUUAAAUUAUUGAAGAUC
Molecule: long non-coding RNA, 691 nt
Filed under: Homo sapiens (human)
Lineage: Eukaryota; Metazoa; Chordata; Mammalia; Primates; Hominidae
Description: HSALNT0344738
Source: RNAcentral